This 153-nucleotide microRNA precursor is filed under the name Mustela putorius furo (domestic ferret). Its description in RNAcentral is "miRNA (ENSMPUG00000023371.1)". The record is from RNAcentral. Lineage: Eukaryota; Metazoa; Chordata; Mammalia; Carnivora; Mustelidae.
AACACAGGACAAUCAGUAAAAUUUUAAUUUCAGACAAAUGAUGAAUAAUUUUUUGGAGGAGUUUUAACCCCUACACCAUUUGGGACAUACUUUUACUAAAAAGUUAUUUCUUGUUCAUAUGAAAUUCAAAUUUAACUGGAUAUCCUAUAUUUU